CUUGAAGAUUCCCUGAAGCAUUGGGAAGCAGAACCCCUCUGUUCUGCCUGGGUGCAUUCACUUCCAGGAUACAGAGCCAUGCUUCUCAGCUCUCAUUCUGAUACUCUGACAUUCAGGAUCUUUGCUGCAAAAAGGGCUCGGCUUCCAUAAAGAAGUCAGGGAGUGCUCUUUCUGGCCCAAAUAAGUUUAACUAUCCUGAAGGAUAGGUGGCAGCUCAGUAUGGAGUUGCUAUUUUGUACACUGGUCUUUGUUUUUGCCUACACUUUGCUUUAGAUGCCUGCAUUCUUUAUUGGAUCUCACUCCUAAUUUUGUCUACAAAGUGCAGUAAAUUGGCUUACAGAAAUAUUGGAACUGGUUUCUCAGGAAGAGGACAAGUGGUAAUCUGCCUGCCUUGUGACAACUGCACUCCAAACAUUGCAAAGGACCAUUUGAUUACCAAUUGUGUGCACAUGGAAAGAAGAGUUCUUAUGUGACAGAUCUGAAUGAACUGCCUAUCCCUCCGCAGCUGCAUCUUUGAUGGGAGGUGGUAAGUGCAGUAGAGUGUGCCUUUGCUGGCCAACACAGGCACAAAUAACACAAGCAACCCCUUAGCCACCCACCCAGCCAACUUAAAUGUCCUUUGGUGGAAACCAUAUGAUGAAAGAAUUUCUGGAGGGGAAAGAAAAG
RNAcentral lists this long non-coding RNA (666 nucleotides) under Apteryx owenii (little spotted kiwi). Its description in RNAcentral is "lncRNA (ENSAOWG00000007612.1)". Lineage: Eukaryota; Metazoa; Chordata; Aves; Apterygiformes; Apterygidae. The record is from RNAcentral.